Long non-coding RNA from Anguilla rostrata (American eel), 1736 nucleotides. RefSeq lists it as uncharacterized. The transcript is spliced from 3 exons. The record is from RefSeq and is a predicted model, not a curated record. NCBI's taxonomy places the organism in Eukaryota, Metazoa, Chordata, Actinopteri, Anguilliformes, Anguillidae.
UUGUGGUGUUUGUGUGUUCGUUAUGGUAAUUUCAUGCCAGCAUUAUUUUAAACUGGGAUGCCUGGUGAAGAAGCGAUCGUUCAGGCGUGCUGAGAUUCCUGAGUUUGCGGAUGCAGUACCGUGACUUCCCAGCAGGUGGAGAGAGAAGCACGCAGUGAAGGAAAGUCCAGCUUGAGUAAGGGAGAAGAGAAAAACGCGGCUCUGUUUGUGUUUACGGACUGCCUCUGUUGCCGUGGAGCCGGUUGUGUCCGAUCACCACGGAGACCAGAAGCCGAAGCACCUUCCCCAGGUACAUCGCAGGCUCUGCUUUGGAGGAGAUUUAAGAGCAGACUGCAGCCUGCAGGGCAGGAUUUGGCACCAGGGCUCGUUGGUAAAGUUCAGGACAUUUCGGACGGAGAACAGGACUAAUGACCAGCUCUAGAGUGGGAGGAAACGUUUUCUGUCAGCAUCGGAGGCAGACGGUUUCCUGCAGAAACCAGCGCUUAGCCGUUAGCCUCUCUGACUGUACCUGGCUGAAAGGAGUCUGCUGUGUUUCAGUUUUAGGUAAAGGCCACACCCAUCUUACCUGUCUGAGCACACCUGGCAUCAUCAGACCUUGCACGAGUUCAAAGGGAGCUUUUGCCCACCCCGCUGUGGGUGGAGCUACAAUGGCCUGCCAAUCAGGGCUGUGAAUACCAUUGCCUCAUUUCAACCGUUCAGACAUUUCAAUUAUUCCAUUACACAACACAGACCUAAAUGAUUUGUCAGCGAGCCGUAACAAGGUCACCUGUCGUUUCACCCAUUUUCGGGAAUUGCGGGCGCUAACCCGGUAGCGAUCCUCGCUCGGGAACGCCGCAGUCCCUUCCUGUGUGAAAAAAGCUUGUAAGCAUCCAGCUGCACCCGCCCCCUCCCCCACUAGUUUGCGGAAAUUUGCUGUCUUUGCUCUUAAUUGCUCUUUUGAAGUUGUUGUUCAGGAAGAGGAGAUGUCGAUUCCAACCCGGUGAGCCAGGGGGUGAAUGUUGCCAGGGUAACCGUUUUUAAAUAAACUCCAACCGCGAUCUGCCCAUCUUUCGGUACCUUCUGGCUCCCGCACUUUCUGCUACCAAGACCUGCUACUGAAUACAUGUUCUGCUGCCUGCCCCUAAUUAACACUGAGCCAAAUGUAUGUUCAGUGUUAUUUAAUCAAUAUUAUGUCAGAACAGCUGGAUGUACAUUGAACUGGUGUACUGCAUAGAACCCUAACAAGGUAAAACUGAAAAUCAUUUCUGUCCGGCUCAGCACCUCUUACAGAAGUACCCCUCUUGGGGUUACAGCGACCAGUUAAAGAAAGAGGUGUAUUAAGUUUGGGUUUAAGUUAGCAGCUUUGUUGGCUUAUUACCUACACAGGCUGGAAAACAUUUAUGAUGCAGUAUUUGCACACAUAACCGCACAGCUCCAAUUUGUGGAGCCACUUGGCAGCGGAUAUCCGAGUCUUCCAGAGACUUUGGAAAGAUCUGGAGACUUGUGAAAGAUUCUGAGACUUGUGAAAGAUUCUGAGACUUGUGAAAGAUCCUGAGACUUGUGAAAGAUCUGGAGACUUGGGAAAGAUCUGGAGACUUGUGAAAGAUCCGGGGAGACUUGUGAAAGAUUUGAGAACUUGUGAAAGAUUGGGGCUCUGUAAACAGUGAGCCUGUCCAACCCGUGGGAUGGAGUGUGGUUAUCUGUGAAAUAUCUUCACGGUAAAAAACCCAUCAAACUGUGUUUGUGUCCGAGUGCUA